AGAGUUUGAUCCUGGCUCAGGACGAACGCUGGCGGCGUGCCUAAUACAUGCAAGUUGAACGCAACAAAGACACCAGAGCUUGCUCUACCGUCUUUGUUGAGUAGCGAACGGGUGAGUAACGCGUGGGUAACCUGCCUUAUAGCGGGGGAUAACUAUUGGAAACGAUAGCUAAUACCGCAUAACAAUAGAGAUUGCAUAAUCUUUAUUUGAAAGUGCCAACUGGUACACUAUGAGAUGGACCCGCGUUGUAUUAGCUAGUUGGUAGUGUAAUGGACUACCAAGGCGAUGAUACAUAGCCGACCUGAGAGGGUGAUCGGCCACAUUGGGACUGAGACACGGCCCAAACUCCUACGGGAGGCAGCAGUAGGGAAUCUUCGGCAAUGGACGAAAGUCUGACCGAGCAACGCCGCGUGAGUGAAGAAGGUUUUCGGAUCGUAAAACUCUGUUGUUAGAGAAGAAUGUUGAUUAGAGUGGAAAAUUAAUCAAGUGACGGUAUCUAACCAGAAAGGGACGGCUAACUACGUGCCAGCAGCCGCGGUAAUACGUAGGUCCCGAGCGUUGUCCGGAUUUAUUGGGCGUAAAGCGAGCGCAGGUGGUUUAAUAAGUCUGAUGUAAAAGGCAGUGGCUCAACCAUUGUGUGCAUUGGAAACUGUUAGACUUGAGUGCAGUAGAGGAGAGUGGAAUUCCAUGUGUAGCGGUGAAAUGCGUAGAUAUAUGGAGGAACACCGGUGGCGAAAGCGGCUCUCUGGACUGUCACUGACACUGAGGCUCGAAAGCGUGGGUAGCAAACAGGAUUAGAUACCCUGGUAGUCCA
Molecule: ribosomal RNA, 814 nt
Filed under: uncultured bacterium
Lineage: Bacteria
Description: bacterial SSU rRNA
Rfam family: Bacterial small subunit ribosomal RNA
Source: RNAcentral